This 465-nucleotide ribosomal RNA is filed under the name uncultured bacterium. Its description in RNAcentral is "partial 16S ribosomal RNA". It matches the Rfam family "Bacterial small subunit ribosomal RNA", at positions 29 to 507 of the family's 1533-position model. The record is from RNAcentral.
AUGAACGCUGGCGGCGUGCUUCACACAUGCCAGUCGAACGAUGAAGCCCAGCUUGCUGGGUGGAUUAGUGGCGAACGGGUGAGUAACACGUGAGUAACCUGCCCUUAACUCUGGGAUAAGCCUGGGAAACUGGGUCUAAUACCGGAUAGGAGCGUCCACCGCAUGGUGGGUGUUGGAAAGAUUUAUCGGUUUUGGAUGGACUCGCGGCCUAUCAGCUUGUUGGUGAGGUAAUGGCUCACCAAGGCGACGACGGGUAGCCGGCCUGAGAGGGUGACCGGCCACACUGGGACUGAGACACGGCCCAGACUCCUACGGGAGGCAGCAGUGGGGAAUAUUGCACAAUGGGCGCAAGCCUGAUGCAGCGACGCCGCGUGAGGGAUGACGGCCUUCGGGUUGUAAACCUCUUUCAGUAGGGAAGAAGCGAAAGUGACGGUACCUGCAGAAGAAGCACCGGCUAACUACGUG